Molecule: long non-coding RNA, 7505 nt
Organism: Chroicocephalus ridibundus (black-headed gull)
Lineage: Eukaryota; Metazoa; Chordata; Aves; Charadriiformes; Laridae
Exons: 8
Source: RefSeq, a predicted model, not a curated record
AUCUAGAAAUACAUAAACUGCACGCUCUCGGGGUUGCUUCAAUUUAGUUACACUAAACUGCCGCUCUUGGCAGACACCUGCCGAAGGAUGGAUCUGGGGGGGCCCAAGCCGUCACUUUCUUAUGAGCCUUGCCCUGCUGAAGCCCCAGCUUUGCCAUUCGGAGGGCAGGGGCACCCACCCACCGCUGCUGCCCCAACACCCGGGGCAGAUCCUUGCCUGCUGCACUGUGCUGGGACCAUCUCUCCUGUCCGAGACUCUGGAUGCGUACAGAGAAAAAGUCACGCACUGGCAUUUUUUUGGGGGGAAAAGGGGGGGAUUUGAAAGUGCUCUGUGCUGGCUGUAGGUCACAGUCCCCUUAGACGGGAUGCCAUUCCCAGUGGAGGCUCCUAGCUCGGGUGUCUGUACUGGCGUUGACUGAGUGUGCUCAUUCGCAGAGUAAAGCCCUUCCCAGGGUCAGGGCCGUGCUCUGCUUGCGGAGCUGCUCUUCAACAGGGCACAGAGAGGCUCCCCGUGCAUUUUGUGCAAUUUAGUGGCAGGAUAUGGAGGCAAGAGGCUGUCGGGCACUUUGCUUCCACGGAAGAAAGUAACCUGUGGUCAGCUUGAGAGAUGACUGUGGUGUGUGACUUGAGCCUGUCUUCAAGUAUUAGAAACCAGAAAGCAAAGACAGAUCCCAUGUUCCUUCUGCUCUAAACUCAUCGUCGUGUCUCAUGGCUUGGAGGAUUUGCCUCAGCAUUAGGGAGGAUGUCCUGGGAGUGCAAUCAAGGCCUUCUGGGAUGAGGUGGAGCAAAGUGCUCUUCCAAGCUGUAAGUUCUUCUGCCCAUGCCAGAGCGUGCCGGUUGUGCCGGAAACACAGGUCUGGAGAGAGGGUGACUUUCCACUGAGCAAUAAAUGGAUUAAAGGGUUUCGUAUGAAUUGAACUCUGCUGAUUUACCCUGUCUGAGGAGCUGGUGCUAGAGCAGGUCUUACUUUUGUGCUGGCCCAUAGUAGAAUUUGCUUGAUGAGUUUUGCUUGGAGUAUGACAACUCAGAGCAGGAGGGAGUCAUUUUGCAGCUAGUUCAUGGUCGCUGUGAUGGGAGAACUAGCCUUGAAAUGAGUUACAGCGGAGAAGAGCUGAAAAAUAGUAUUUUCCAGAUGGUGGGAAGCAAUGCUGUUAUGAAACUGGUGUUUGGGGCUGUCUCUGAUAUAAGCAAAGUUUCUGAGAAGCAGAAGGCUCCUCGGCUGUCGCCUGCACCGUGUUCCUGGAGACCCCUGCAGGAUGUCCUUCCUUGCCUUGGCAGAAGUCCAUCACGCCUCAGCCACCACGCAUGAAGUGUUUCAGCCUCAACUGUGCAGCAUUUUGUAAUGAAACUGUUAAAUCUGAAACCGUGAUUGUCUCUGGAGCAUGCUGUGGGGCUAAGCGUGGGGCACAUCUUCAUGCAGGGUGCAGCAAGGGCCAUGUUUAACUGGAGCCCACCUGGUACUACCAGCACUACGUGCCCAGAAAUCAUAGAAUUAUAGAAUCAUAGGAUAGUUUGGGUUGGAAGAGACCUUUAAAUGUCAUCUAGGCCAACAUUCCCUGCAAUGAGGAGGGACAUCUUUAACUAGAUCAGGUUGCUCAAAGCCUCAUCAAGCCCGGCCUUGAAUGUCUCCAGGGAUGGGGCCUCCACCACCUCCACCACCUCUCUGGGUGACCUCUUCCAGGUUGAUACACGCAGGUGUGCGCACUCGCACCCCUGCACACCCCCUGCCAGAUCCACUCCCCCCUGCCUGCAUCAUAUGGGAGGCUGAAUCUUCAAAACCACAGUGUUCCCAGUCUCUCUCCAUGCUUCUGAUUUGAAAGAGGCACAUGAGCACUUUCCCCUUUAACAUCCCCCUGCAAUGAAAAGGAAAUCAUUAAGACAUUUUGCAGCAGGAGCCAUGGGUUGUGAUGCCAGGUAUUGUGCACUUCGUUCCUCCGGGUGGCUGGUCCUCAGCCCUGGCAAUGAAGGACUGGUGGAGCAGAGAGCCCAACUCCUUCUUGAAGGUAUUAACCCAGGAAUGGAGUUCUGGGCUGAACGCAGCGUCAUGGAGGCUUCAUGUCAUGCACUGCUGGGCACAGCAGAAGGGAAACGGCUGCCUCCCGAUGUGCAGCUUGUUUUAACACCAUGCGUGAAUGUAUGUCUUGUUUCCUUCAGCACGACCUUGCGUCCGCUCCAAACUCAAUCUAGGCUCUGAUACUGCGGUGAGCAGCAUGGCGUAAAUCUUCAGGCAAGCAGCUGAAUAUUGUAACCUCAUUUGGUAAAUGAGAAAAAUAGGCUUCCCAGAAGACGCUUUUUGCUUUAAUUAUUAAAUAAAUAGGAAAACAGCCUUCUGUCUAGCUGAGCUGGCAGCUUAUGAAGAGAUUCAAGUGAAACCAAUGCGACCAGCUAGCUGUCAGGUUUCCAGCCUGUUUGUUCCUCCUCUGGAGCAUCCUGGUGUGAGUCUGGGAGCUCUGCUCUGUGCAGGGUGUAGCAGGAACCAGAGGGACAGGCACUGCUGCUGAGGGCCCUGCUUGUCCUUGCAUGGGCAAAAUAUGGUGGGAUCUGCUGCCCACUGUCAGGAGUUGGGGCUUCCCACUGUCCAGGAGACCGCUGAAGGCACAAGUCACUUCCACUUAGACAGAGUUCAUGGAAAAAUGAACAAAAGUGUCACCUCCACAUCCUCUGGCGAGAGGCUCUUCAUGUCAGGAGCAAACAGGAGGAGAGCUGUCUGUAGGCAGAGGAGGCCACAGCUGGGACGUUCAAGAUACAACCCAACCUGUUGCCUCUGUAGGAGACAACGUGUCCCUGGGAGUUGGCUUUGAUUUGGAAGGGCAGCCAGUGACGACAGACAAAGAUGGGGGUGCUAGCAAGCCACAGGAUGCCUGAUACUCCUGCCAAAUCCUUAAUAGCUUUAUUUGGGCCGAGGGAACUCAUUCUGAAACCUCAAGAGCUGCUGUGAAAUGGGAUCAUCAUCCGCCAGGGAGCUCCAGUGCCUAUGUGCCUUACAGCAAUCGUGACGAAUUCUCAUCCCAGCCUGGCAUGAAACCUUUAUGGCAGAGCCAGCACAGUCUGAGUUAAGGUGUGGGCAUCAGGCCUGACGCAACAUGGUGUGGAAGCAACAGACGUUGAUGUUCCCUUAAACUCAUGAUCAGGAGCAUCGCUGACUCCGACACAUCCAUGUACACAGAGUUGCUUCCACCCACCUCCACAGUCCAUGCCAUGGACAGUUGUCCUGUUUGAGACCCAGCCCCUUGUAUCUAGCAACUCUGACCUACUGGAAGGACUCCUUAGAUGGAAGGGCUGAUUUUAGUCAAGGAACACAUGGAGGAGUGCAGGGAUCACUUCUGCAGAUGAGACAGUUGAGAGCAUUGCCAAUGUGGAAGCGGAUCUGAAUGUCACACAGGAAGGAUGGAGCGACCUCGGGGACUGUUAGAAGAAGCAGUGUGAGAUAUUGCAACUCAGGGAUGGGGCCUCCACCACCUCCACCACCUCUCUGGGCAACCUGUUCCAGGUUGAUACACGCAGACGUGCACACUCGCACCCCUGCCAGAUCCACUCCUCCCUGCCUGCGCCCUGCCAGCACUGGGGACACGAGAGAGGAGCUCCUGAGAAGGGCUGGCUCUAAAGCUGUCAGGCUUCCCAGACGAUUGUGUCUGACGACCAGCAUGGCCCGGAAAAUAUGAUUGUGAUUGAUUUUGUUGCCUGGAGCCCAUGUCGAUUUCAGAUUCUGCCAGUGUUUUGUUUUAACUUGCUGGAUCCAGCCCAGCUCAGGAACUUUGCUGCAGCCCAGCCAGGACUCUGCGAGGGUCCUGGGGUUUCAUUGCCUGCUUUUAUUUCCCCCUUCUCCUGAUGACUGCUGGAAGCCACGUCUCAGCUGAGCUGAAAGAGAAGCACUGGAGUAGCGAAGGGACUCUCCUGUCCCUCCUGUCCUUGAGAGCCAGAGCUUGAGAUGUCCCUCUUGAGCUGCUGUAAAUGAUCUUUCAUGCCUUGAAAGUCCCCAAGGAGGGGACGGCAUCCCAAAGCAAGACCCUCGGCCAUCAGGUCAACCCAAAAGUCAUCUGGAAAACUUAACACACAAACUCUGGAGCAAAUCACUGGAAAAUGUGCCUUCUGUGGCAGGUCAAAAGGAGGAUAACAAGGGACCAAACCUGUAGGGGACAGGAUUUCAGUGACUUGCUGUCUCCGUUACAGCUUGUACGUGUCUAGAGCUUGUUUGUGAGCAAUUAAUGCAGUCGUCUUAAGCAGAGCCAUGGAGAGCAUGAUUUAAGUAGUUAAUAGUAAUUAAAGGCACAUUAUCUGCGGGCAUGUUGUCCAUGCCCAUCCUGCACAGCCCUGUUGGCUGCCCUGCGCCAGCUUGCCCAAGUUGAGGGGAAGGAAACGGGGUGGGCUGUAAGCCAUGCAACACUGUGGGCUCUGCUUGCCCUCUCCAUCGUCCCUGCCAUAUGUCUGGGAUGUCCCUGGGGAAGCCUCCCCACUGUCACCAGCCACCCAGAACAGGGCAGUGCCACGCAGCCAUGGCAGGACUCUGCGCCCAUCUGUGCCGUCCCCAGCAGCACCCAGGGAAGGAGAGAAGAGGCAUUCAUCCACCUGUGCAAUGUGUGAGACUGACCCUAUUUUGACAAGGUUGUGUCAAAAUCAGAAUGCGACUUUCUGCUAGUUUUAGCUCAUACCUGCACCAAGCAACUUGAUCAACUUAGCUAGGCACCACCUCCCUCUCUGUCCUGUUUCACUCAGUUAAGACAUAACCCUUUGACAUUUUUGCCAUUAAUGUGGGGUCUGGCUAAAGGGGGGGAUUUCAAGCAGGGACAGUAAACCAACCUCACUCCUAUCCUGUCCCCAGCUCUGCUAAUGACAGUUGUGGAGGAUGGGGAGGAGAAAAGAUCUCCGUGUGGGCUGGUUGGUUUUUCUGAGCGACCCAAAGCAAAGUCAAGACAGAACAAGAAAAAAAGCAACGUGGGGAUGGAGUGAGAAAUUCCAGUUUAGGCUUAAUCUCUCUUUGCUUUGAAAAGAAACAGCUCAGGCCCUUUUGAGAUGGAGAAAGAAAAAAAGAAAAGAAGUCUGAGCUUUUUAGAAAUUUCCUUCCAUUAUUUUAUGAAUGAGUCUUGAAGCUACCAAUAUUCCGCUCACCAAAAAGGGCAACUUUUUAAGUGGAUUUACCUUUUCAGCCCUGGUCCCCCUUGCCUUCAGCUAUGUUUUGCCAGCAGGAAUAGACUUUUCAUGAACUGCCCUUAGCGAUGUCCUGGGAGCUCACAUCAAGAGGCGAGAUGCACCGGAGUCUCUGUUUCCUACUUCCAAACACCUUCCCCUUCCUUUUCAACAUUUCCCCCUGCUGCAAAUAGUAGCCGAGCUGUAGAUCUUCAAUUAUUUUUGUGCCUUUGCUCCAUUUAAGCAUUGCAGGACGUUAUACAGAACCGAGAACCAAAUCUCCCUCUCAAAGUUGCACCACACGGUGUUAAGGCUCCCAGGCAUUUUCCUGCAGCCCCAAAUCUCUUGACGUUUCUUAUAUUAAAUCUGUUUAUUGAAGCUGUUCUUCUGCCAUUACACUUUUUCACAAGCUGUAUACUUUCCCUUGCUAGGGCUUCUCAAAAAAAAAAAACAACAAAAAAACUAUAUACAUGUCAGGAUUUCUGGCUUAUGACAGCACUAUGAGGUUUCUUCAGGGUGAGACAUUGCAUUUGCAAGGCUGGUGCUGGAAGCUGGAUUUCUGCGCUGUUCCAGGGGAUCUGCCUAAAGAAAAGUUAGUCUAGGAUAUGCGAGGAUGCAAAAGAAUACAGGUUUGGGGUGAAUUUUGGGAGAAGUGUCUUCCCCCCUUACCCCUGUUUAGCAAUUGCAUCCACGGUGGAUUGCAUUAAAGCAAAAAGGAGGGUUCUGCUGAUGGAGACAGGGGAAGGUCCCCACGUAAAUUAGUCCACCUGGGAUAAUCAGGAAUAGCUAUUCUGAGUAGGGCAAAGCCUCGGGAGCAGCACUGAGGGGAAUGAAAAUCAAACUCCUUUUUCCUGGUGCUCUCCCUCUCCUUAUUAUCUACACAUAAAUAAUUCACAUUCUUUGCAAGCCAAGUCUUGUCUUGACUGAAGGAGUUCAGAUCAUUAGAAACCCAACAAUUUUCUGCAUAUUUCAUAAUAAAAGAAGCUCUAACGGGGCAGGAAGCUGGGAGGAGGGCAAAAAGGGGAAGGAUUUCUUCUGCUGCAACUUCUGCUCUUGGGAGUUUCCCAAGAUUUUUGGACUACUGAUACCAGAGAUUCCUGGAUGCCCAGCUAGAAAAAAGCCACAGCACGGAAAAGAUGGAAGGACCUCCCAGUGAGACCAGAGGACCCACGUGUGUUGGGGUGGGAUGCUCUUGGGGACCAUCUCUUCGCUGGGAGGAGGUUACUCCUUUGUGCGCUGCUCAGAUUUCAAGGUAGAUUUUAUUAUAUACAUUUAAUAACAAAACAUGCCUUAAAAAAUUUCCAAUAAAGAGCCAUCUCAAAGCAAACAUGCCCCAUUCCAGAAAAGUUGUUUCAGCAUUAUCCAAAUGCUCAAAGUCACUGCGGCUUGCUUCUUUUUCACCCUCAUAGUGGCUUUUUGCCACCAGUGUUUCCAUGAAAUGGCUCAUUUUUGAUGAAUUCUCGUUUUUGGAUGGCAAGGGAAGAGGAGCACUGGAUGGUUUCCAAGCAGCUCCAUUACAGAGGCCAACAUUUUGCACGGGGCCUCUCUCCCCCCGGUUUAUUGAUCACCGAGACAUGACCUUGCAGGGCUGAGUCUGCCCAGGAGCAGGCAAUGACAGGAUCCGGGUAGCCAUCCCUCUGCUGCCUCUGUGCAGCUCCACUGCAGCACUCCCAGUUCAGGUCUUAGUGGAAAUUUGGGUCUAUCUCUAUCUGCCCUAGAGGACAUGUCCCCUUGUCCAGCCCAUCAAAAGCAGCCCUGCCACCUCCAGCUCUCUGAUAUGCCCUCAGCCUGAGCGUGGAGGAUACUCUGGCUUUCUUAUCCCUUUGAAAUUUCCCCUUCCACCCUCCCUGGUUUCACAGCAGAAAUAGGACCCAGGUUAGUGGAGACAUUGAGACAUUCUUGCCCAUCCCACGCUCUCUGCAAUUGCCUCUAUAAACACAUCCGUGCCCAGUGGGGAGGAGAGCCAUUUGAGCUAAGGGAUAACUCUGGCACAGGGGCAAAUGGGGAAAAAGUGGCUGGGGAAGGCUGUGGGCUGGAAAUUAAAAAAGGUCCCAAUCACCAGAAGAAACACCCUCUUUGAGAGGGGCAGGCAGAGCCGUGGCUUAGCCAGCAGGCAAGAAGGCUUCUUGAAGGGGUUGGAGUUGGCGAGCCCCAUGUCAGACCUCCAUCCCACCAGCUUGCUCCCACCUCAUCCCAGUGCUCGGCACCAUCAGGCAUGUGCUUGACCAAAACUGGGGAAAGCAGCUUUCAGAAGCUGUGCCGCAGGUCCUGCGGCCAUUGGCAAAGACGAGGCUCCUCCAACUCCGGCUCAUGUUUGAAGUUUCUCUCUCCUAACACAUGCUCAGGCUGUCAUGCCAGACGGCUGUCCCUGCUGGGACAGUG